GGGUUGUGAGGUUAAGCGACUAAGCGUACACGGUGGAUGCCCUGGCAGUCAGAGGCGAUGAAGGGCGUGCUAAUCUGCGAUAAGCGCCGGUAAGGUGAUAUGAACCGUUAUAACCGGCGAUACCCGAAUGGGGAAACCCAGUGUGACUCGUCACACUAUCAUUAACUGAAUCCAUAGGUUAAUGAGGCGAACCGGGGGAACUGAAACAUCUAAGUACCCCGAGGAAAAGAAAUCAACCGAGAUUCCCCCAGUAGCGGCGAGCGAACGGGGAGGAGCCCAGAGCCUGAAUCAGCAUGUGUGUUAGUGGAAGCGUCUGGAAAGGCGCGCGAUACAGGGUGACAGCCCCGUACACAAAAGCGCAUGUGCUGUGAGCUCGAUGAGUAGGGCGGGACACGUGGUAUCCUGUCUGAAUAUGGGGGGACCAUCCUCCAAGGCUAAAUACUCCUGACUGACCGAUAGUGAACCAGUACCGUGAGGGAAAGGCGAAAAGAACCCCGGCGAGGGGAGUGAAAAAGAACCUGAAACCGUGUACGUACAAGCAGUGGGAGCACAGGUUUACCUGUGUGACUGCGUACCUUUUGUAUAAUGGGUCAGCGACUUAUAUUCUGUAGCAAGGUUAACCGAAUAGGGGAGCCGGAGGGAAACCGAGUCUUAAUUGGGCGUUAAGUUGCAGGGUAUAGACCCGAAACCCGGUGAUCUAGCCAUGGGCAGGUUGAAGGUUGGGUAACACUAACUGGAGGACCGAACCGACUAAUGUUGAAAAAUUAGCGGAUGACCUGUGGCUGGGGGUGAAAGGCCAAUCAAACCGGGAGAUAGCUGGUUCUCCCCGAAAGCUAUUUAGGUAGCGCCUCGUGAAUUCAUCUCCGGGGGUAGAGCACUGUUUCGGCUAGGGGGCCAUCCCGGCUUACCAACCCGAUGCAAACUGCGAAUACCGGAGAAUGUUAUCACGGGAGACACACGGCGGGUGCUAACGUCCGUCGUGAAGAGGGAAACAACCCAGACCGCCAGCUAAGGUCCCAAAGUCAUGGUUAAGUGGGAAACGAUGUGGGAAGGCCCAGACAGCCAGGAUGUUGGCUUAGAAGCAGCCAUCAUUUAAAGAAAGCGUAAUAGCUCACUGGUCGAGUCGGCCUGCGCGGAAGAUGUAACGGGGCUAAACCAUGCACCGAAGCUGCGGCAGCGAACGUAUCACUUAAAGCGAUUCAGCGGGUUACGAUUGACGGAGCGAAGCGACGUCAAAGCGUAUACAAAGUCGAGUCGGUUUAAGGAUACGUUCGUUGGGUAGGGGAGCGUUCUGUAAGCCUGUGAAGGUGGCCUGUGAGGGUUGCUGGAGGUAUCAGAAGUGCGAAUGCUGACAUAAGUAACGAUAAAGCGGGUGAAAAGCCCGCUCGCCGGAAGACCAAGGGUUCCUGUCCAACGUUAAUCGGGGCAGGGUGAGUCGACCCCUAAGGCGAGGCCGAAAGGCGUAGUCGAUGGGAAACGGGUUAAUAUUCCCGUACUUGGUGUUACUGCGAAGGGGGACGGAGAAGGCUAUGUUGGCCGGGCGACGGUUGUCCCGGUUUAAGCGUGUAGGUGUGUGUUCCAGGUAAAUCCGGUUCACUUUAACACUGAGGCGUGACGACGAGGCACUACGGUGCUGAAGCAACAAAUGCCCUGCUUCCAGGAAAAGCCUCUAAGCAUCAGGUAACAUCAAAUCGUACCCCAAACCGACACAGGUGGUCAGGUAGAGAAUACCAAGGCGCUUGAGAGAACUCGGGUGAAGGAACUAGGCAAAAUGGUGCCGUAACUUCGGGAGAAGGCACGCUGACACGUAGGUGAAGUGAUUUACUCAUGGAGCUGAAGUCAGUCGAAGAUACCAGCUGGCUGCAACUGUUUAUUAAAAACACAGCACUGUGCAAACACGAAAGUGGACGUAUACGGUGUGACGCCUGCCCGGUGCCGGAAGGUUAAUUGAUGGGGUCAGCGCAAGCGAAGCUCCUGAUCGAAGCCCCGGUAAACGGCGGCCGUAACUAUAACGGUCCUAAGGUAGCGAAAUUCCUUGUCGGGUAAGUUCCGACCUGCACGAAUGGCGUAAUGAUGGCCAGGCUGUCUCCACCCGAGACUCAGUGAAAUUGAACUCGCUGUGAAGAUGCAGUGUACCCGCGGCAAGACGGAAAGACCCCGUGAACCUUUACUAUAGCUUGACACUGAACAUUGAGCCUUGAUGUGUAGGAUAGGUGGGAGGCUUUGAAGUGUGGACGCCAGUCUGCAUGGAGCCGACCUUGAAAUACCACCCUUUAAUGUUUGAUGUUCUAACGUGGACCCGUAAUCCGGGUUGCGGACAGUGUCUGGUGGGUAGUUUGACUGGGGCGGUCUCCUCCUAAAGAGUAACGGAGGAGCACGAAGGUUGGCUAAUCCUGGUCGGACAUCAGGAGGUUAGUGCAAUGGCAUAAGCCAGCUUGACUGCGAGCGUGACGGCGCGAGCAGGUGCGAAAGCAGGUCAUAGUGAUCCGGUGGUUCUGAAUGGAAGGGCCAUCGCUCAACGGAUAAAAGGUACUCCGGGGAUAACAGGCUGAUACCGCCCAAGAGUUCAUAUCGACGGCGGUGUUUGGCACCUCGAUGUCGGCUCAUCACAUCCUGGGGCUGAAGUAGGUCCCAAGGGUAUGGCUGUUCGCCAUUUAAAGUGGUACGCGAGCUGGGUUUAGAACGUCGUGAGACAGUUCGGUCCCUAUCUGCCGUGGGCGCUGGAGAACUGAGGGGGGCUGCUCCUAGUACGAGAGGACCGGAGUGGACGCAUCACUGGUGUUCGGGUUGUCAUGCCAAUGGCACUGCCCGGUAGCUAAAUGCGGAAGAGAUAAGUGCUGAAAGCAUCUAAGCACGAAACUUGCCCCGAGAUGAGUUCUCCCUGAGACUUUAAGUCUCCUGAAGGAACGUUGAAGACGACGACGUUGAUAGGCCGGGUGUGUAAGCGCAGCGAUGCGUUGAGCUAACCGGUACUAAUGAACCGUGAGGCUUAACCUUACAACGCCGAAG
Molecule: ribosomal RNA, 3009 nt
Filed under: Salmonella enterica subsp. enterica serovar Newport str. WA_14882
Lineage: Bacteria; Pseudomonadati; Pseudomonadota; Gammaproteobacteria; Enterobacterales; Enterobacteriaceae
Description: bacterial LSU rRNA
Rfam family: Bacterial large subunit ribosomal RNA
Source: RNAcentral